GAUGAAGAACGUAGCGAAAUGCGAUAAGUAAUGUGAAUUGCAGAAUUCAGUGAAUCAUCGAAUCUUUGAACGCACAUUGCGCCCGCCAGCACUCUGGCGGGCAUGCCUGUUCGAGCGUCAUUUCAACCAUCAAGCCCCCAGGGGCUUGUGCUGGGGCCCUGCGGCUGCCCGCAGGCCCUGAAAACCAGUGGCGGGCUCGCUAGUCACACCGAGCGCAGUAGCACAUCUCGCUCAGGGCGUGCGGCGGGCUCCUGCCGUGAAACCCCCCACUGUAACCCCAAAGGUUGACCUCGGAUCAGGUAGGAAUACCCGCUGAAUUUAAGCAUAUCAAUAAGCGGAGGA
Molecule: unclassified non-coding RNA, 342 nt
Filed under: soil metagenome
Description: partial contains 5.8S ribosomal RNA, internal transcribed spacer 2, and large subunit ribosomal RNA
Rfam family: 5.8S ribosomal RNA (bases 1-120)
Source: RNAcentral